This 500-nucleotide ribosomal RNA is filed under the name uncultured bacterium. Its description in RNAcentral is "bacterial SSU rRNA". It matches the Rfam family "Bacterial small subunit ribosomal RNA", at positions 68 to 561 of the family's 1533-position model. The record is from RNAcentral.
GGGGAAGGGUAGCUUGCUACCUGACCUAGCGGCGGACGGGUGAGUAAUGCUUAGGAAUCUGCCUAUUAGUGGGGGACAACAUUCCGAAAGGAAUGCUAAUACCGCAUACGCCCUACGGGGGAAAGCAGGGGAUCUUCGGACCUUGCGCUAAUAGAUGAGCUCUAAGUCAGAUUAGCUAGUUGGUGGGGUAAAGGCCUACCAAGGCGACGAUCUGUAGCGGGUCUGAGAGGAUGAUCCGCCACACUGGGACUGAGACACGGCCCAGACUCCUACGGGAGGCAGCAGUGGGGAAUAUUGGACAAUGGGCGAAAGCCUGAUCCAGCCACGCCGCGUGUGUGAAGAAGGCCUUUUGGUUGUAAAGCACUUUAAGCGAGGAGGAGGCUACUGAGAUUAAUACUCUUGGAUAGUGGACGUUACUCGCAGAAUAAGCACCGGCUAACUCUGUGCCAGCAGCCGCGGUAAUACAGAGGGUGCGAGCGUUAAUCGGAUUUACUGGGCGU